CCUACGGGAGGCAGCAGUGGGGGAUAUUGCACAAUGGGGGAAACCCUGAUGCAGCAACGCCGCGUGUGGGAAGAAGGUUUUCGGAUUGUAAACCACUGUUCUUGGUGAAGAUAAUGACGGUAACCAAGGAGAAAGCUCCGGCUAACUACGUGCCAGCAGCCGCGGUAAUACGUAGGGAGCAAGCGUGGUCCGGAUUUACUGGGUGUAAAGGGUGCGUAGGCGGUCCGUUAAGUCAGCGGUAAAAUGGCGGGGCUCAACCCCGUCGAGCCGUUGAAACUGGCAGACUUGAGUUGGCGAGAAGUACGCGGAAUGCGCGGUGUAGCGGUGAAAUGCAUAGAUAUCGCGCAGAACUCCGAUUGCGAAGGCAGCGUACCGGCGCCAGACUGACGCUGAGGCACGAAAGCGUGGGGAUCGAACAGGAUUAGAUACCCCAGUAGUC
RNAcentral lists this ribosomal RNA (439 nucleotides) under uncultured bacterium. Its description in RNAcentral is "partial 16S ribosomal RNA". It matches the Rfam family "Bacterial small subunit ribosomal RNA", at positions 338 to 795 of the family's 1533-position model. The record is from RNAcentral.